CCUACGGGAUGCAGCAGUGGGGAAUAUUGGGCAAUGGAGGAAACUCUGACCCAGCAACGCCGCGUGAAUGAUGAAGGUCUUCGGAUUGUAAAGUUCUUUUCUAAUGGAAGAAGAAAGUGACGGUACCUUAGGAAUAAGCCUCGGCUACCUACGUGCCAGCAGCCGCGGUAAUACGUAGGAGGCAAGCGUUAUCCGGAAUGACUGGGCUUAAGGGUUUCGUAGGUGGUUUGAUAAGUUGGUAGCGUAACUCCGAGGCUCAACCUCGGCACUACUACCAAAACUGUAGGACUUGAGUGAGGGGGGGGCAACUGGAAGUCCUAGUGUAGCGGUGGAAUGCGUAGAUAUUAGGAGGAACACCAGUGGCGAAGGCGAGUUGCUGGACUGUAACUGACACUGAGGCACGAAAGCGUGGGGAGCAAACAGGAUUAGAUACCCUAGUAGUC
This 443-nucleotide ribosomal RNA is filed under the name uncultured bacterium. RNAcentral's name for it is "partial 16S ribosomal RNA". It matches the Rfam family "Bacterial small subunit ribosomal RNA", at positions 338 to 795 of the family's 1533-position model. The record is from RNAcentral.